RNAcentral lists this ribosomal RNA (510 nucleotides) under uncultured bacterium. RNAcentral's name for it is "bacterial SSU rRNA". It matches the Rfam family "Bacterial small subunit ribosomal RNA", at positions 18 to 523 of the family's 1533-position model. The record is from RNAcentral.
CAUGGCUCAGAUUGAACGCUGGCGGUAUGCUUAACACAUGCAAGUCGAACGGUAGCAGGCCUUCGGGCGCUGACGAGUGGCGGACGGGUGAGUAACGCGUAGGAAUCUGCCUCAUAGUGGGGGACAACGUGGGGAAACUCACGCUAAUACCGCAUACGCCCUACGGGGGAAAGCGGGGAUCUUCGGACCUCGCGCUAUGAGAUGAGCCUGCGUUAGAUUAGCUAGUUGGUAGGGUAAAGGCCUACCAAGGCGACGAUCUAUAGCUGGUCUGAGAGGACGAUCAGCCACACUGGGACUGAGACACGGCCCAGACUCCUACGGGAGGCAGCAGUGGGGAAUAUUGGACAAUGGGCGCAAGCCUGAUCCAGCAAUACCGCGUGUGUGAAGAAGGCCUUAGGGUUGUAAAGCACUUUCAAUUGGGUAGGAAAAACCUGUCGGUCAAUACCGGCAGCUUGACAUUACCUUUAGAAGAAGCACCGGCCGUAACUACCGUGCCAGCAGCCGCGGUAA